Molecule: ribosomal RNA, 469 nt
Filed under: uncultured bacterium
Lineage: Bacteria
Description: partial 16S ribosomal RNA
Rfam family: Bacterial small subunit ribosomal RNA
Source: RNAcentral
GACGAACGCUGGCGGCGUGCUUAACACAUGCAAGUCGAACGGAAAGGCCCUGCUUGCAGGGUGCUGGAGUGGCGAACGGGUGAGUAACACGUGGGUGAUCUGCCCCUUACUUUGGGAUAGGCCUGGGCAACUGGGUCGAAUACUGGAUAGGACAUUGCUGUAGGUGGAGUGGUGGAAAGAUUAGGUUCGGUAAGGGAUGAGCUAGCGGCGUAUCAGCUUGUUGGUGGGGUAAUGGCCUACUAAGGCGUCGACGGGUAGCCGGCCUAAGAGGGUGGACGGCCAGCUUGGGACUGAGAUACGGCCCAGCCUCCGGCGAGAGGCAGCAGUGGGCGAUAUUGUACAAUGGGAGCAAGCCUUAUGCAGCGACGCCCCUCGGGUGAUAACGGCCUUCGGGUUGGAAACUCCUUUCGGCCAUGACGAAGCCCUUGUGGUGACGGUAGUGGAAGAAGAAGCACCGGCUAACUACGUG